GCUUUGCAUUCUGAACUGGCUUGAGCCCUUUUUACAGAAACUUCCCUCUCCUGUCACUCAACUUAUCAGAAUCAAUUAAUAAUCCCUAAUAUUCCCAAUAAUCCCCAUUUGGAAUGGGUUGCAGCAUUUCCUUAUUGUUGGAGUUCCCUUUGUAAGCAUCCGUGGCAAACUUGCUGUUAUUCCCAAGUGACUAUAAAGACGGCUCCUUCUUGUGUUCAAUGGCUUCUCGUUCUUAUGUAGAAUCCAUAGGAAAUGAGGUUCCUAAAACUGGGUGACUCACAGAGCUCUGUGAAUUGUACACCAAAUCGCAAAGCCUAGAAUGAAACUAUUGUCGCCACUUGACCAACUGACCAUCGGAAUGGUUUAGAUUGUCCAUAUGAGCAAGUCAGGGAAAGAAAACCCAGAUUUCCUUCCCUUCCUCAAGAAUACUUUGGUUCUGAAGAUUGGCUUAAAAUGUCACAGAACUGGGAACAGGGACCCCGUUUAGGUAAAGGUGUAUUUAGAUACUGUGGCAAAAGAAACGAUGAAAGGAAACAUUUCAGAGAAACUCAGGAAGGUUGAUAUGAACUGAUGUGGGGUGAAACUGGCAAGGAGAAAAACUUUUUCAGGAACAAGAACAUCGUAAAGACAAACAUCUUUGAAAGACUUAAGAAUUCUGAUCAAUAUAAUGACCAGGGAUGGUUUCCAAAGACCAGUGAUGAAACAUACGACCCCCUUCUUGACAGAGAGAUGAGAGAUACGAAGUGCAGAAUGACAUCUAUUUUUGACAUGCCCAAUAUGAAAAUUCCUCUUCUCCCCAAUCCAUUCUGCUUGAACAAAACAAACUUACCUCUCAACCAGUGCAUCAGCCUUGAAGAAAAAACCCUAAUCCAGGAAUUGUUCUGGAACACACACACAUAUAUACUUACUUAUAGGUGGAUGUGAGUAUGUAUUUUGGAAUCAAGGAAAGGGCUGCGUAUCAUCAGCACCAUUUAUUUCUCUGUAACGGCUAAUCAACUAAUAGUGUAGCAAAUUUCUGGACUAUAAAGAGCAACUUCUCUAGUUCUCGGGGCAUUCCGGCCUGUUGGGCUGGCAGCCAAGUACAAAGGAGUUCAAAGCAAACUGAGAACUGGCCAGCCUCCCCCUCUCCCCCUUCCCACCAACCCAAAGCUAGAGUUGUUUUGGCACAUGUCAACCAUCAAUUGACAAGCCAGGGAAAGCCUGAACUUGGAGCUAGCCCAGAGCGUUAAGGCACAUAGUCUGGUCAGAGAUGAAACCCAAGAGCGUGGGCAAACUUGGCAUCCGACCCCGGCCCAGCCUGCCCCCUGAACCGGUGCUAUCUUUUGUCUUUGUGCCCACCAGCGCUGGAGAGAAGCACAAGAAACCAAAAGCAGCCUUUUGCUCCCAUUUUCUGGCGGCUCUCGCACGGUCUUCGCCCCCUUUUCCACAAAGGAAGUCCUCCCCAGCCCACACAGCUGAGAGAACCAGCAUCAACUGGAUAAAACUGAGGAAACAACAACACAGCUCGGUCUUUAUGGCCGGCAGAGAAAAAAAGAAAAAGAAAAAGAAGGGUCGCUGAGACCAGGAGGCAAAGUCCCGGCAGGACCCCGGGGAUCAGAUUUCCGCUCCGCUCCAGCUGGAACAUCCUUUCUCCUGCACGUGGAAGGGUGGAGCAGGAUAGAGCCGCGAGGGGGAACCCUGGGAAGAACAAAGAACGUGGUCCCUCCACCCAGGGAGAGUCUGAAGGCCGGCGUGGGACGAGUUUUGGAGUCACGGAAGUGGUUACUCCCUGGGGGGCGUUGUCUGCAGGCUGGAGACUGGUCCUCUGGAGGGAAGCCUUUUCUGCCCUCGCGGAAGGCUCACCUUUACAUGACCAACAUCACUGGAAGAAUGAGUAGCAUAUUUGAAAUCUCCAUGUAAAAUGCCAAGAAAUCUCACCUUCAUUAGGAGGCAGUGGGAGUUCUCGUGGGGGGAUGCAUUGUUUCCGAAACUCCCCUAACUCCUUUAAUUUAACCCUUUUCUUUCCAGUCAACACAAUGUUCCUCAUGACAUGCUGCCAUUUUGUUCCGAAACCAGUGGAGGAAAACAAAUGUGUGUUUCUACUCCAUUUUUCCCCUUCUCUGCAUUGUUUCUUUUUAUGGAGAGAGUCACUGGACCAGGGUGAAGGGAUUUCAAAAGCAAUGCAAUAACAUUUGAGGGUGGGCAGAAUUUUUAGCAUUACUGCUCGUAAUAAAAAAAAAUAGCAAAUGGUUAGAGAAAUGGCA
Long non-coding RNA from Monodelphis domestica (gray short-tailed opossum), 2243 nucleotides. The record is from Ensembl. NCBI's taxonomy places the organism in Eukaryota, Metazoa, Chordata, Mammalia, Didelphimorphia, Didelphidae.